This 8920-nucleotide long non-coding RNA is filed under the name Monomorium pharaonis (pharaoh ant). Its description in RNAcentral is "uncharacterized LOC118647823". Lineage: Eukaryota; Metazoa; Arthropoda; Insecta; Hymenoptera; Formicidae. The record is from RNAcentral.
CUCGCUUUUUUUUCCUCUCCGGUUUUCGUUACAUUUUUCGAAAAAGCGAUGUCGAAUGGGCGAAGCGAGAUCUCGCCCUUCGAAAGUGUCGCGUCCUCCUCGCGGAGGACGCGGCUCCGGUGUCAAGGCCGCGGCUGCCAAGAAUGCGCGCAGGUGUGACCGGCGGCGCCGGAAUUGUCGCGAGAGUUUUCGGGGUCGAUCUCGAUGGACGGUCGCUCCGCGAGGAGGAUCGAUGAGAUGUGCGGCGGCGCGCAUGUAUGCAUUAUAAGCGUACGAGCGGAAACAAAUCAACGCGAACUUCGAUCACGCGCAAAGUCCACUCGUAAUCGGGCGUCACACCUCUUGCAUAAUUGCAAUAACCGCAAGUCAGCAGAGACUUGUAUGUAACGUACGUGAAAAAAUUGGUCCGGCGAAGCAAAAGUUGCCGCUGAUCACGGAACGUUAAUGUAUAACGUUAAUGUCGCUUUUCCCCUCCCCUCCGCGAGCGUCGUCCCUCCGUCCCUUGGAAACGACGGGAAUUGCUCUCGCGUGUUCACCUCGGGACGGAGCGGCAUGACUCAUCGAUUUGUCGCGCGAUACGCGCACCCGUUGCGCUCGUGUGGGCGCUGUGAGUGGAAGACAUUCGUCGGCUGUUGAAGGUAUUCCCUUGCGGUCGCGUCUUCGCCAGAUCGUUGCGAAUGUCUUCGAGACGACACUUCCCAGGAAUCCAAUGAUUUGCCAAGGGACUGAAUCUCAUCUGUAUUUUCUAUCUGUAUUUAUAUGAAUUUAUAUGAAUAAUUUCGCUCGCGCAUUUAAGAAUUUACAUUUACAUUGGGCCAUCAAGAUAAUGGGGCCUAAUAAAAUUAUGCAAAUUAUUUUCAAAUCCUAAGCUAAAAUUCUUCUAGAAUUUAUCUUGCAGACACUUUUAAUAAAAUAUCUUUUAGAUAUCCGCAAGACGUUUCCUGGAUUCUUUCCAUAUAUAUUAUCUGUAUGUACAUAUGACCUCCGCGUUGAUACGAGAAAGUGCUUUCCAAAAACAGAACGAUGCAUUUUUUCUUUCCUCACGCGAAUAUCCCGCACUUGGGCCAAACUUUCGCUCUCGUUGACCCUCGAGCCCGCGAGCAACCUUUAAUCGCGGCGAAGAAAGUACAAGAGAGGCUUUAGAUAUAAAAGCUGCCGCCGUUACGCGCGAUUAAAUUUUAUCGCCGCGAGUGACCUUAGUGUUAUUUUCGUCGGCGAUUUCCACCUGAUCGACAACAGACGAUUCGUCGGACAGCGUGGCGUACGUAUACCUUUCCUCGGGCGAACUGUAAUCAAAUACGAUUCACCGUCGCGUCGAACUCAAAUUGUUUUCCUUUUCUUUUCUUUCUCCGUGGAUUUUGUUGUCGAGAAGCACGAGGGACGCCCGGCGGCGAUUCCUCGCCGCGUUGCGUGCUCCGCUCGUGGAAAAACGCGAUCCUUAUGAAAUGUCGGCACGAACCCGCGUCGACGAGGUCCCCGCGACGGGACGUGCGGCGGGGAGGAUCGCGUGUAGACACCAGAAACGCGAGCGAGUUUUGUGGAUAUUGAUCAGCGGGAGUAUUUUAGAUCGCGGAGUCUGCGCGCGGCGCGCUCCGCGGAAUUCGUCGUGGAAUCCCUAACGUGUACAGGAAAACACCGACGAGAUUCACGGAGACUCGCCGGUGACGUUUCUUCGUCUCGUCUUGGACGAUUCCGGGAUUCCCCCCCCCCCCCCCCGCCCCCCGUUCGCUCGUCCGCGGCGCGCUAUUAAGUCAUUAAAAGUGCACGCGGAUAAUGGAGCGCUACAGAGAUAAAUAAAGGACGAUGAUUUAUGCAAACGACUACGCGCCAUUGCCGGUCGCGUUCUGGUUGUGCUCCUUCCUCUCGCGGACCGGCUGGAGGAAAUGACGGUCGCGCAUAUUUAUGACUAUAUCCAUCCACUCGGCGCUCGGGGCACUCGCGCAUGCAGCUCUCCGCGGCUUAAAAAAUGACGGUAUGUGGGGCACAAAUAAUAUGCGGCCCGACCGACUUGGGCGCCCGCGCUAGUGACAGACGAUUAAUCGACAAUUACAGCCGCGCUUCAGAAAAGUGUGCUGAUCGAUUGAGAGCUGACAUUUAGGAGAAGGUUGAAAAAAAAAAAAGAGAGACACAUACACACGCGUACGUAUCUUUAAUUUCUUGACUGGGAUAGGGCCUCCGCGAAUUUGUUCCAUUCACCUACGUCUCCAAUCAAAUCUAAAUUACCUCCAUCAUUUUCCAUCUCUCUUCGAAACUUUCUUCCAUUUUGUUGCGUACGUAGGUAAUAACAUAAAAAGGAAAACUUUGCAAGAGUGAAAGUGAGUAUAUAGCGUGUAUCUAUAGGUUAAUCACCUUAAGGGACGAAACCCUACUCGAUAGGUUGCCAUGAAACACCCUUCUCGAUGUUUUCCAUACAUAUCGCGUGUAUCGAUCGUCUCGACGGUUUCUAGACUGAGGAGGGCCCGAUGAAUAGCCGUGUUGUUGUACACGUGAGGGAGUAUUUAGAAGAAAAAUUGCCAAACGCUGUCCUAAUAUACGAUAUCCACACCCAAUACAAUUCCAGCGUAACGAUUUGCGCUCGAACAUCCGUUUUUGUUUGAUCGAAACGCAACUGGCUGUCGCGGAAACGGCGAAUCGAUCCUUUCGGACGACGUCCGACGAAUAAGUGGCUCGAAUAAUAAUUUUUGAAUGAGAAAGUUUCGUAGAAUUACAGUCGUUUCACUUUAACGAGUUUCUAAUUAAAUGUACGAUCGAUGCGACGUAGGUCACCUAAAUAACAACCUCCCCGUAGAUCCUUGACGAUUAACAUAUAGACGAAGCGAUGUCGCGCAAUCUGCUUCGCGGGUAAUAGGAUCGAUAUUGCAAUCUUCUCCUCUGUAGCCCGACACCUCAAUAGGUACCUAGGCGAUACGGAUGUCCCUAUUGUUGUCGAGGCAGCAGCACCGCCUCGGAAAGAAUCUCUCGGAACACGAGAAAGGAAAUCAAACUUUCUCGUCGCGCGUCGCCUGUAAUCAAAAUAUUAUACACGCUUAUUGCCGUCGACUCCGACACGCGAUCUCUUGUUGACUUUUGCGCACGGGCAGACAGACAGAUAGCCUCCCGCCCAACUCUCCUUAGAUCUGUAACAAUAUUACGGAGCGGAGAACUUCGAAACUGAUCCCGAUUGAACGACGUUAAACUUGGUCGCGAUUGUCGCGUUUCUCUUCCGAUAUACCUCUCGAUUGGUUUUAAUCCCCCGUAUUUAGGUCCGAUUCACUUUUUUUGCCGUCGCACGGAACGUGUUUUUGUCGCUAGCACUCGGUCCAGCCGCUAUCUACCUUUAUUUCUAUGGUGAAAGCCGCGCUCUGUGAUAAGAAUGUUUCCAACGGAGUUGGCCCCUUAACUCGGCGGCCGCGGAGUGUCGAAUCAUUUUUGACUUACUUACCGAGCUCGUUCAAUGCUAAUCGAAACAUAAUCGAACAUCGUGAAGUCUUUCACUCGAGAAAGUUCUCAAAAUCGCACGACACCUUCAACAACGCGCGCGCGCAUUUGCAUUAUUAUUUGCUGAAAUACGACGUUGAUAUCGGUGACGGUAAAUGAUUUACGAGCUUUCGUGCUGCUACCCGCGGUGAAAGGGGGAAGGUGAUCUAGUUUCGAGAAACGAUCCCUCAAAACCGAAUGUGCCGCCGCGCGUGCAUCACUUUCGUUAAGCGACUCACUUCAAAGUGCGAAAACAAUUGCUCAGCGUUCUAAUGCCCGGCGCAAAUCGCGCGAAGAUCGAAAAUUUAGAAAAUGUCGGGGAACUCGCGUGCAAAAUCGAUCGAUAAAGUGAAAGAGCGAGGUAUAUAUGUUUUUACGUUUUUUUUCUCUCUCUCUCUCUCUCUCAUGGAGACUGCUGCGAACGCGCGUUAGUUCCGUUUUAUAGGAAAUGCCUGCAGCUUCUCUCCGGUCAGGAGCGAGAGACUUGAAGACACCGGGACAGAGAUACGUCCCACACGCGACACACGAUUAAACCGGAAUUCCGGUGGUGCGUCUCGAGUGGCGUUAUUGAAAUCGGAGAGAGUGCGAGUUCGAACGGCCGCAAAAAGAAAAGAAACACGCGGAACGGGAAAGAAAGAAAAAUAAACCCGGCGGCUGCGUUGACAUCGCGCGUCGUACGUAGGCUUCGGUCCCCAAUGUCCCCCCCAUCGAACUUUCCAAUGUCGCGGGAAACCCCCUCGCGUUUGCCCGGCGGCGGGCAAGUCAAGUGGAGCGUCCGUACAACACGUGCACAUUCUACGCAUCUUGACGCGCGAUAAAUACGGUCGUUUUGUCGAUUAAGCCGUUAAUUAGCGAUAGCGUUCUCCCGAGCGACAGGCGAUCGGCGAAGCAAUGUUUAUCUAAUCGCGAGGAGAGUCGCGUCUCUUUGACGAGGACUUGAUUCGAUUAUAAUUAUCGCCUCCGGGCGACUGUCUCUCCCCCCUCCUCUCUCUCUCUCUCUCUCUCUCUCUCUCUCUCUUUCUCUCCCUCGCGCAAUUGGAAGUGAUGGAGAGUCCCGGACUCUCUCUGCUGUGCGAACAUUGUUUUCUUCCUGUAUGACGCGCGAGAGGAAAGGGAAGAGGGGUUCCACCGAGUAAUCUAUACUUUUAACCAUCUAACGCACGUCAAAUUACAAAAUCAUUGGAAUUAUUGUCAAAUCGUGCGGUAGACGUAUAAUUAACUUUGACGCGUAAUUUCUCCGGGAUUCCCCCUCUCCGCAUCGAAGGACCCUCGGGGACGUUUGGUCAUGGUGAGCUUAUUGCGCUCUCACGUCGCAUUUUUUUACGUCGUUCGUCGUCGUUUCCAUCGAGAUAUCUCGUCAUUAAAAAAAACGAGAUGUAGUAUACAUAGCCGAUCGCGUGUGAGAGCCUUCCCCUUCUCGCGCGUAUGCCGGCUCGAUUAAUCGGAGCGUUUAGAGAGGAACACGCGCGAGGGCCUCUAAAACUCGGCAUCACGAUCCUGACCCAGCGGGUCGAUCGGCCGGCUAAAAACACGAGACGGGGAGACGCAGCGGAAUCGUUACGCUCGCGUAACACUUCGGGGCCGAUCGACGUGAGCGGCUCGCCGUCGCUGUGAGAAACUCCGCGCUCCGUCCAAGCCGGGCGACGAAACUACAUUGCGACGGCGGCGGCGUCGUAUGUACAGGGGAUGCGGAGGAAGCGAUGGAGAGCCGCUGGAUUUUAAUCCGCGCCGGCACGGAAUCCGAUCGGACGUCGACUCCUCGCUCGCCGCGCCGCGAUUAUAUGCCCGGUAACGGUACAAGGUGCAGCAGCGCGCACUCGCGCGAUGACCGAGAGGGACCCUCCUCGCGGAGAGAUGCCUAUCUUCGCGAAUAGAAAGAAAGAGAGAGAGAGAGAGAGAGAUAUGCAUAGCCGGCGAAUCUCCGUGACCUGGAACGGAAACUACGAAUUUCCUCCGUCUGGAAUAUCAAGGGAUACCAUCCUACGCUCGUAGGAUCUGCCGAUCGAUCGCUCGUUGAUCGCUCGAUCGAUCGCGUGGAUUAUUUUCUAAGCCCAACAAAGAUCCUUGCCCCGCCUCGGUGGCCCUCCCCGCGGAGUAUAACGUAACCGUUACACUCGCCGAUGAAAUUAUUUAACGUCCGCGUCUCGAUAACGUGCGGUUCGACUCGACGAAGAGAGAGAGAGAGAGAGAGAGAGAGAGAGAGAGAGAGGAGCGGGAGAGGUCGGGAGUACCUGCACGGAGAGACAGACCGUAAAGAUAGAAAGUCGAUGCAGGUGCGCGACGAGAAUAGCGCGCCACACGUUGAUUGGCGCGCAUAAUAAAACUUGACAAUAUAUCCCGCGUAAUUAUUCGUCUCUUAAGCCGACAAGGGUGAUAGGCUUAGCCAGAUAUUAUCGCGCGCGCCCAUCGGCAAAACCACGCGGCCGCAAAACGAUCUCUCUCGUGCGAGAAUUAUUACGGGCGAUUAUCCUGGCGCGUCGCGUCGCGUUACGGCAACUCGUAACACGUUCCGCAAUUACCGUAUUCUGCGGAAGAGUUUGUCUGUUAACGAAGCGAACCACGGCGGCAAAAUCAAAAGUCGGAAACGACGGUUAUCCGACUCGAGAGAAAGAGAGAGAGAGGGAACUCGAUCCGGGGUCUUCGCGUGUUCCGCGUGGUGGACGACGUGCGCGAGAAGCCGAUCGCCGAUGAUAUUUCGACUGGAAUAUGACCCGGCGACCCCGGGAAUAGAAUCUAAAUCCCUCCCCUCGUCCACCGGUACUUUCUCCCGAGAGUGUUCCGGGCGAAAAUGUUAUUAAUCUCUUCAUCGGGGGAGCUGGCACGGGCCGGUGCGAGGCGAAAGGGUGGCGGAAAAAAAGGGAAGAAGAGGAAGGGAGGCGAGGGACCUAUUGUUGCUGAAUGCGCACUGCAGGCGCAUCGGCUUGACCUUUCGAGCGCAUGAGGAAAGCGCAAGCCCCGAAACGUCCAUGGUGUUGGUUGCCUGCUUCGGAUUUCGCGCGGAAACACGUUUCGCGCGUGUCGCCGGCGGCGAACGAUCCAAUUUGGCGUGCGAUCGCCUUUUCACCGAACGCACAUACGAUUUAUCCACGUCCGCGGAAACUCGCCGUCGAAAAGAAAGGAGAGAAAAAUUCUAAAUUCUGUUGCGCAAUCUCUCUCCCGGGCCGGCGUAAAAAUGUAUGGAGACUUUCACCGGGAGCGGGCGAGUAAAACGAAUCGAGUGUAUCGUUAUCGAAGAGUCCCUCGAGGGAGUUAAUCGCGGGCGGCGAGUCGGAUCCCCUUACCUUACAGUCACGCCGGAUAAUGAGGACUCUCGUCGAGCGUAAUGACGAGGACGAUGAGCUCGUUAAUUUCGCUUCUGCCGUGACCCCGCGCGCGAACCCGACGACGACGACGAGGCGCCUGUUUCCGCCUGCACGCGCGCGCGCGCGCGGACGAGGAACGAGGAGGCGAGAAACGAGAAGCGAGCGUUUUCUGGACGAGCUGUCAUCGAUUUCUCGCGUACCACUUUUCCUGCACGCACAUGUGCAUACGGGCAUGCACAUUACCCGUUUCCUACGCGAGAAACGGCUUUGUUGAUGCUAAUAGGUGAAGGCUUAAAGGGUCAACGAAACACACGUCGGAAAUUUAUCAUAUAUACGCUUGUGCCUCCUCUCGGAUAUCGCUCGCGCGAUUCCGCGUCGUAACGGUUGGUUUACCGCUGACCGUGUCAUUAAGUCGACGUAAUGACGAAACGUCAAAUGGCGAGGGGGAAAUGGAAUAGAAUAGAAUUCCUCUUUCUUCUUUCGGCUGGCCGAUCGCGAUGCUACGGCGCGGUAAUGUGUGUGAUUGUGUGCGAGUAACGAGGGCACCGGGCCGCGAUGUUUUUCGGAGGUCGUUGCGGCGCUAGGUUCAAUCUGAUUGCGGGUCCAUUAGAAACAAUAGGGUUUUCGCUCCACGGCGGUCGGAUAGAAUGCGAAAUGUAUAAAUGAUUUGCAAACUUCGCGGAUUUCGAACUCUGCACGAACGUCCGUGAAAGGUACGAAUCAGAUCGCGUAUCGCGAAACUUUUCGGAAUGGAAUAAUCCCGCAAACAAGAAUAUUAAGCAGCUCGUAUAGAAUCGACAAAUCAAGUGUUAUUUAGGCCAACAGCAUAAGCGAAUAGUUAUAAAUAAUUAAAAAAAAGGUAUCUUCAAUUUCUCGUAAUAUUAAACAAACAACGAACGACGCCUCGGAAUCUCUUUCAGCGUGAAUAUUAACUUGAGAACUUAAUUUACAUAUUACAAUUACAUAAUUUACAAUUUAAUGAUGUCGUGCAAAUAAUAUUUCGCGACACAGUACUAUAAAGUUAUAAUUGUUAAACGUAGUAAAAUGAGAUGUAAGAUAAGUCGUAAUGUGGGAAAGGUCGUAAUAUAAAAAGAAAUCAUAAUUCGUCGUUUCACGAUCGCGAAUUAAUCGGAUCUGAUGUUGCCAAACAUAAAAUUGUUGUGAAUCUUUUCGUCGGUAGAAGUAUGUUUAAAUUUAUGUGAAUUGACCAUGCUACGUUAUAUAUUGUAAUUAAUACGUAAUGAAUGAGGAAUAAGUAAAGAAUAUGAGAAAAUAAUGGCGAUUGUUAAUAACUGAAUAAUUCCCAUCAAAAUUACUCAGUCAUUUCCCACAUUUCUGUCGUGUUUUCCAGGGAAAACGGUAUAAUUCCAAUUAAAAUCCAUUUCCAACAGUUUCAUAACACUUGCCCAGAUGUCCUAAAUCGACAUUUGACAAUCUUUUAUAUGUAGAAUAAGUUCAGACAAAGGGGGAAACUUUAUAUCACACGUUAUAGAUGUACGUAUGAACCUUUAUACUUGUUUCUUCAAUGCAUGUAAUCGUGAACAGUGAACGUGUCAAACAACAUCGGAUAAAACUUUUACAUGCCGUGUCGCUGAUUGUCGCCAUUCGCCAUUAUGUCCAAGUGGAUCAAGGUUUUGCCGGCUAUUAACGUAACGUAACUAAAUGCUGAUAGACAGGAACGGUGCGGCUUAAUCGCUAUUAUUCGACCGGUGGCUCCGAAUUAAUUAACAUCAUAACCUCGAAACAAUGCAACGACCACGAUGAUUAGUCUUAUCAGGAAAACUCGCGCGUCAUUCUUCGAACUGUUGUUAGCGAGGUGGAAAAUAGGAAUGUGGCUUACGUCCCCUUAGUCUCUCCGAAGCGAGCUUGCACUGCUCACCCGUGUCUUCAAAACGAGCGAUAAAUCCGACGAUUAUCGCUAUUCAUCAUCCGUCAGAUCACCCUGUCUCGCCAACCUACAGCCCCCAUUUCCCUCCGGUGGGAAGAUACGCGCGCGCGCGAAAGAUCUCAGAAGUAGGACACCUUCUCUUAUCGCGCCGGAGCAUCCCGCGAACGACGGGAACGAGCCACGUAGAAAGGCAGAAGGGAAAGGAUGUGAGGACUCGCCGGAGUGAGAGUACCGGAGCACUUAGGGGAGCUAAAUGCUGUUCGAAAAAAAGAAA